GCCCUUGUAGUUCAAUCGGAUAGAACAGUCGCCUCCUAAGCGAUAGAUCCCCGUUCGAUUCGGGGCGAGGGUACAA
Molecule: transfer RNA, 76 nt
Filed under: bacterium TMED161
Lineage: Bacteria
Also listed under: 1 other name
Description: tRNA-Arg
Rfam family: tRNA
About the family: Transfer RNA (tRNA) molecules are approximately 80 nucleotides in length. Their secondary structure includes four short double-helical elements and three loops (D, anti-codon, and T loops). Further hydrogen bonds mediate the characteristic L-shaped molecular structure. tRNAs have two regions of fundamental functional importance: the anti-codon, which is responsible for specific mRNA codon recognition, and the 3' end, to which the tRNAs corresponding amino acid is attached (by aminoacyl-tRNA synthetases). tRNAs cope with the degeneracy of the genetic code in two manners: having more than one tRNA (with a specific anti-codon) for a particular amino acid; and 'wobble' base-pairing, i.e. permitting non-standard base-pairing at the 3rd anti-codon position.
Source: RNAcentral